CAUCGCACGGUUCACGUUUUUCGUUUCCAUUUUUGUGCAUGUUUUUCUUCCCUUUUAUUUAGGUUUGAUCCACUUUCUAUUUUGAUCUAUAUAUAUAUAUGAAGCAACUACAACCCUAGACUAAGUGCCGCUCGGUUCCCUCUUCACAGAAGACCACGGUUUCUCUGCAAAACACCAAACUGAAGCCUCGGUCUGCAACAAUAGAUGGCCACCUGCAGAGCCACUUCCGUGCAGCAACUCCACCACACCAAGCGAAACCACGCCGGUAUCUAGGUCGUUCGGAGUCCAUCACCCCAACCGCACGCCACCUCAGUCUCACGGUGCUGCCAUCCAACGCACGUAGCCCCGGUUUCAAGCUCCGAAACACUCUGUUUUUGUUGUCAAAAAACAGAGCAUUGUCUAAGCCGCGGUGAUCACCCUCCAUUGUGCACUCCUCCGUGCUGCGCCUCCACAGAAACCACCGGCGAGGUCAUUCCUCCACCCAGGUCCGCCUCACGCUGCCUCAUCCCACGCUAGGAGCCACUCCACGCCGCCGUGUAUAUCCCCACCCUCCGUGACGAAUAAAUUUUCUUAGUUCGGCAUUUCUGAGGAAAUAUUUCGAAAAGCUAAGAAGUCCAGAUGAUAUUGAUUUCCCAGCUAGGGGUCGGGAAUAGAAUUGAAGCUGGCUAGAUAUGGAUGGAAGGAUUGGGUACUCUAGAGUACCAUUGUUAGUAGAUGGAUUUAACUUGAGCAUUUGAAGUACUUUACGUUGUUUGAACCUAUUGAUACCUAAAGGUGUAUUGUUAUAUUUUUGAGGUUAUUGGGAGAUUGUGGACCCCUUUUGGUUUAUGUUUUGUA
Juglans regia (Persian walnut) is the source of this 837-nucleotide long non-coding RNA. RefSeq lists it as uncharacterized. The transcript has 3 exons. The record is from RefSeq and is a predicted model, not a curated record. NCBI's taxonomy places the organism in Eukaryota, Viridiplantae, Streptophyta, Magnoliopsida, Fagales, Juglandaceae.